This 253-nucleotide ribosomal RNA is filed under the name uncultured bacterium. RNAcentral describes it as "partial 16S ribosomal RNA". It matches the Rfam family "Bacterial small subunit ribosomal RNA", at positions 524 to 776 of the family's 1533-position model. The record is from RNAcentral.
UACGUAGGGUGCAAGCGUUGUCCGGAAUUAUUGGGCGUAAAGAGCUCGUAGGCGGCCUGUUGCGUCCGCUGUGAAAUCCCGGGGCUCAACCCCGGGCGUGCAGUGGAUACGGGCUGGCUGGAGGCAGGCAGGGGAGAGCGGAAUUCCUGGUGUAGCGGUGAAAUGCGCAGAUAUCAGGAGGAACACCGGUGGCGAAGGCGGUUCUCUGGGCCUGUACUGACGCUGAGGAGCGAAAGCGUGGGGAGCGAACAGG